UAGACCGUAGAUCGUGAAGUUGUCCGAUACCAUUUUAACUUGGCUCAACAGCUGGGUGACCAGGAAACACCCAGCAGCAGAUAAGAACGAACGAGAACAGCCCUGUUGACAAUGUGAGCACCCCACAGCAGGGACAGCCAUUUUCAGACGGCAUCUCCAGGGUUGGAGGGUGCAUCAGAAAGCUGGUUCCCAGGCAUGGAUUUAUGUAGCCCCAUGGGAGCAGCUGGGGAGUGUGUGAGCGUAACAUGAAAAUCGUUAAUUCUGAGUUUCUCUAGCAUCUCUGAGGAGAAUCAUCUCUUUCCUCAUAUCUAUCCUCACACCACCCCCUCCCCAUCCGGAACCUCAAGGAUCAUUUCUGGUUCUUGCAUUUGGGUCGAAGAAAGUCGCAACCUGAAUGCCCAGCGUCCUCUGAGCCAGGGUGUGUUUCCCGAGUUGGCCAAGUCCCCUGCAACAGCAGGCUCUGGGGCUGUCGCGCCAUGUUCCCGCACUCUCAGGCAUAAUAGAAUGAUCUGACGUCUGGGGGCUCUAGAAACCCGAAGACCUGGGUUCGAAUCAUGAGUCUACGACUUCCUCUCUAUGAGCUUCCGGGUGGAGACCAUCUUCAUCAGCUCCUCCCCCCAUGCGUGGACAGACACACUCCACGGAGAAUUAUCCACGGAAAGGAAUUAAAGAAAGGUGCUUGGCCUGUACAUCUGUGUGUUGCAUGUAUGCAGUGACUGUAGAGGCCAGAAGAAGCCGUCAGAACCCUUGAAACCCGAGUUAAUGAAAGUGUCGAGCUCCAGGGUAAUCCUAAAGUCCCUCCAUACCAUCAAGCAAAAUAUCCUAAAACUUCGUCUUAAAAACAAAAAACCGGGAAAUGCCACACCCACUCCAGUAGAGUCUGUGUGAUAUGAAGCCCUUGUGCGUCGUUUCUAUCCAGAACAGAGGCUUGUGCCUGGAAUGGCUCGGCCUCCCGGAGGUCCUGGCCGUCUCCCUACAAAUAGAUGGUGACUAGGGCCUAUGCUUGCAGUGGAGGGGCCUUCUGUGUUCUAGCCUUGGUGAUCUUAGCAACUUUAAGCCUGUCAACAAUGUCUGAUUUUAAGAAUAUAGCAGUGUGGGAAGAUGGUCAUGUACCUUUAAAUGUCUCAGGAACUGAAAGUUCAGAGACGAAAAUGUCUCACACCACCAUGAUCCCGAUGAACUCAAUGGCUACAAUGAAUUCAACUGCUGCACUCAUUAUUUCCCAGCAAAUAGAAGAGAAAUUAAUUGUAACUAUUAAGAACAUGACUGUUCCAGAAAAGCCUCCCCCCACCCCUUUUGGGAAAGUUUUGUUUAGCAUGAUUCAAAACAGUAACAAUUCUUUUAGAAAGAUCAUAAACAAGUUCCAACAAGUUAAAUAAACUUAUCGAGAGUUAACUAUGGUUAUAAAAGUUUCCAUAUUAUUCUGAGGGGCCAUAAAUAUAAAGUUUAAACUUUAUUAAAACAAAGGUAAAUGUUGAAUGCAUAUCUGGUGCCCACAAGUCUGGCAGUAUAACUGCAGUUUUCUAAACUAUUGUUUGCGGUUAAGAAUUGUUUCCUAGACUGUACGUUCUGCUUUCCUCCUUGCAAGGGACAUUUGGUGGGGUGAUAAAUAAAAGCUGAAUAACUGCCAAUUAUAAUGUACCUGUUCUAACUGCUUAAAUCUAUGCCAAGAAGUAAAGCUUUUUGCAGCAGCACACACCUCAAGUUUGUGUCUGUCUGUCAUGCCAAAUCCGUUCUCUACCUAAAAUCCAAGCCUUGGUCCCUCUGCUGACACACU
This 1777-nucleotide small RNA is filed under the name Rattus norvegicus (Norway rat). Its description in RNAcentral is "uncharacterized LOC108348513". The record is from RNAcentral. Lineage: Eukaryota; Metazoa; Chordata; Mammalia; Rodentia; Muridae.